This 460-nucleotide ribosomal RNA is filed under the name uncultured bacterium. RNAcentral describes it as "partial 16S ribosomal RNA". It matches the Rfam family "Bacterial small subunit ribosomal RNA", at positions 338 to 795 of the family's 1533-position model. The record is from RNAcentral.
CCUACGGGAGGCAGCAGUGAGGAAUAUUGGUCAAUGGGCGCGACCCUGAACCAGCCAAGUAGCGUGAAUGAUGACUGCCCUACGGGUUGUAAGCUUCUUUUGUAAGGAAGUAAAACGAGGCACGUGUGCCUUUUUGCAUGUACUUUAUGAAUAAGGAUCGGAUAACUCCGUGCCAGCAGCCGCGGUAAUACGGAGGAUCCGAGCGUUAUGCGGAUUUAUUGGGUUUAAAGGGAGCGUAGAUGGGUUGUUAAGUCAGUUGUGAAAGUGUGCGGCUUAACCGUAAAAUUGCAAUUGAUACUGGCAGUCUUGAGUACAGUUGAGGUAGGCGGAAUUCGUGGUGUAGCGGUGAAAUGCUUAGAUAUCACGAAGAACCCCGAUUGCGAAGGCAGCUUACUAAACUGUGACUGACAUUGAUGCUCGAAAGUGUGGGUAUCAAACAGGAUUAGAUACCCCAGUAGUC